GAUGAACGCUGGCGGCGUGCUUAACACAUGCAAGUCGAACGAAGCACUUAAGACAGAUUCUUUCGGGAUGAAGAUUUUUGUGACUGAGUGGCGGACGGGUGAGUAACGCGUGGGUAACCUGCCUUAUACAGGGGGAUAGCAGUUGGAAACGACUGGUAAUACCGCAUAAGCGCACAGUACCGCAUGGUACAGUGUGAAAAACUCCGGUGGUAUAAGAUGGACCCGCGUCUGAUUAGCUAGUUGGUGAGGUAACGGCUCACCAAGGCGACGAUCAGUAGCCGACCUGAGAGGGUGACCGGCCACAUUGGGACUGAGACACGGCCCAGACUCCUACGGGAGGCAGCAGUGGGGAAUAUUGCACAAUGGAGGAAACUCUGAUGCAGCGACGCCGCGUGAGUGAAGACGUAUUUCGGUAUGUAAAACUCUAUCAGCAGGGAAGAUAAAUGACGGUACCUGACUAAGAAGCACCGGCUAAAUACGUGCCAG
Molecule: ribosomal RNA, 486 nt
Filed under: uncultured bacterium
Lineage: Bacteria
Description: bacterial SSU rRNA
Rfam family: Bacterial small subunit ribosomal RNA
Source: RNAcentral